This 72-nucleotide transfer RNA is filed under the name Bacteroidaceae bacterium. RNAcentral's name for it is "tRNA-Gly". It matches the Rfam family "tRNA". From Rfam's summary of the family: Transfer RNA (tRNA) molecules are approximately 80 nucleotides in length. The record is from RNAcentral. Lineage: Bacteria; Pseudomonadati; Bacteroidota; Bacteroidia; Bacteroidales; Bacteroidaceae.
GCGGGUAUAACUCAACGGUAGAGCGUCUGCCUCCCAGACAGAAAGUUGUGGGUUCGAAUCCCAUUAUCCGCU